GGCGCCAUGGUGCAACGGCUAGCACGGCAGUCUUUCAAGCUGCAGAUCCGGGUUCGAUUCCCGGUGGCGCUACCA
Molecule: transfer RNA, 75 nt
Filed under: Acidobacteria bacterium RIFCSPHIGHO2_01_FULL_67_28
Lineage: Bacteria; Pseudomonadati; Acidobacteriota
Also listed under: 4 other names
Description: tRNA-Glu
Rfam family: tRNA
About the family: Transfer RNA (tRNA) molecules are approximately 80 nucleotides in length.
Source: RNAcentral